UACGAAGGGGGCGAGCGUUGUUCGGAUUUACUGGGCGUAAAGGGCGCGUAGGCGGCCCUUCAAGUCAGGCGUGAAAGCCCCGGGCUCAACCUGGGAGGUGCGCUUGGGACUGGAGGGCUGGAGUUCGGGAGAGGAGCGUGGAAUUCCCAGUGUAGAGGUGAAAUUCGUAGAUAUUGGGAAGAACACCGGUGGCGAAGGCGGCGCUCUGGACCGAGACUGACGCUGAGGCGCGAAAGCGUGGGGAGCAAACAGG
This 253-nucleotide ribosomal RNA is filed under the name uncultured bacterium. RNAcentral describes it as "partial 16S ribosomal RNA". It matches the Rfam family "Bacterial small subunit ribosomal RNA", at positions 524 to 776 of the family's 1533-position model. The record is from RNAcentral.